GGCUCUUGCAUCGAUGAAGAACGUAGCGAAAUGCGAUACUUGGUGUGAAUUGCAGAAUCCCGUGAACCAUCGAGUUUUUGAACGCAAGUUGCGCCCGAGACCUUUAGGUUGAGGGCACGUCUGCCUGGGC
RNAcentral lists this ribosomal RNA (130 nucleotides) under Ranunculus paludosus. Its description in RNAcentral is "partial 5.8S ribosomal RNA". It matches the Rfam family "5.8S ribosomal RNA", at positions 23 to 150 of the family's 154-position model. From Rfam's summary of the family: 5.8S ribosomal RNA (5.8S rRNA) is a component of the large subunit of the eukaryotic ribosome. It is transcribed by RNA polymerase I as part of the 45S precursor that also contains 18S and 28S rRNA. Lineage: Eukaryota; Viridiplantae; Streptophyta; Magnoliopsida; Ranunculales; Ranunculaceae. The record is from RNAcentral.